This is a long non-coding RNA of Mastomys coucha (southern multimammate mouse), 731 nucleotides long. RefSeq lists it as uncharacterized. The record is from RefSeq and is a predicted model, not a curated record. The transcript has 2 exons. NCBI's taxonomy places the organism in Eukaryota, Metazoa, Chordata, Mammalia, Rodentia, Muridae.
UCCAAGACGAACUAGUUUUUUAGGAAUGUAGUGGGCUAUUGUUCUGUUGCUUGCUUGCUAUUUCAUUAGUCUAUGUUUUCAUUUUACUAUUUCCUUCUUUAAAAAAUUAUUUUGUUGUACUUUAUGCUUUAGAGACAGCUAACUAGAAUGUUAAUUUUUAUUUAUCUUUAUUUUAAAAACAUACUUUAUUUUUACGUAUAGCAAUAUAGUUACAUAUAAAAUAAUACGAAAAUAGAAUGUUCGGUUAUAGACUUAAACAGAAAUUCUUAAAGAGGAAAUGAAAUGUUAAUUUUAGUUGUUCUUUCUGACAUGCAUAGUUAAGAUGAGAUUCAUUUCCAGCUAAGAGAUAUUGCAAAUUAUAGUCAAGUUUUGAUAUACUGCAAUUUCAAUAUUUUCUCUUAUGUUUUCUUUGUUGACCCAAAUGGUAUUUAGAAAUAUAUUUAAAAGUUUUAUAACUAUGAAGCAUGGUUAAAUAUCACUUUGUUAUUUAUUCCUAGCAUACGUAUACUGUGCCGAGAGGAUGCUCUCUGUACCUCAGUUGAGGAGUCCUUGAGCUCUGAAUGGAGGGACCUGAUGGCGACCUCCGGUUUGUCUCUCCACAAUGUCUGGCUGUGUGUCUCUGCAUCUCAUUGGCUGCCAGAAGAAGUCUCUCUGAUAAUGAAUGGAUACGGCACUGAUUUAUGAGUAUAGCAGAAUUAUCAUGAGGAUUCAAUUGAAAAUUUUUUGGACCA